ACUCACUUUACUAUUCCAUAGAAAGAUUUAAUAAAAAUACAUGCAGAGCACCAAAAAUUCACAGAGAUAUCUUUAUAAAAUUGCAUCUGUCUUAUAUUGCAGAGGAAACGCGACAGAAGUGCAGAAGUGGCUCAAUAAACCUAAGUAAAUAUCCUGAACAUAUUUCCAUUUGUUUUGAAACCUUUGAAUUAGCUUCACAACCUUCACAACCCUUUUAUUUAUUUAUUUUUUUAGUUUCAAAGAGAAAGGCACUUCCCACUUACCCACUCUGCAUCUGCCACUUACAGUACUCUAUCUUUAAUCACAUUAUGUAAAUCACAUUCUCGUUAAAAAGUAACUACAGCUUACACAAAGGUGAACACAACUGGGUAGUUAAGAAGAAAUAGCAAUUCUUAUAACAUCUAUAGCAUUCAGAAGUAAGUGCUUAUUGUUCUCUAGCUUUAGCUAGUAAAAUAAACAAUGUGAUUUAUAGUACAUGUAUACAUUCAAUAGUGUGGGUUUGACUUAAAAAAACAGUUUUAGCUUUUUCAUGUAUGCAACAAUACAACAUUAACUGGGCUCACCUUGCAGAAUCACAAAAAAAUACAGUGGUGUACAACAUUGAGCAAUUGAGGUUAGUGCAAUACAUUGAUUCAUUGUGAGAAGCAUCUAUCCAUUGCCGCAAACAGGAUUCAAUUCUUGUCAAAAACCUGAAAAAGGACCCUAAGACCCUGAGCAGUGCUUAACCUCCUAGGACCUGGCGUCCACAUAUGUGGACAUCACAUUUUGGGAUAUCUAGACCAAAAUAAUAAAUUCUGCUCUACAAGGCUCUGAUAUCCACUUACGAGGACAUCAUACUGCCACUGUUCUAUUGAAAUUUUAAACAAAUGUCCUCAUGUGUGGAUCUCAUUUUUCUCAGAAACAAAAAACAGGUAAAAAAACAAAAUCUGGAAAUUCAUUGUUUUUACAUUCAUCAGGUCCCAACAUGCCCAAAUAUCAAAGAGAAAUUAAAAAUGCAUGCCAUGGAAGAGUUCGGGUCUUAGGAGGUUAAGAUGACUGUGCCAAUUCCAGAAAACUCUAGUGAACUGGCUUUUUGAACAUUUUGAGCUGUUUUUCCACUAACUUUGCUGGUAAUUGUGGCUAUAACUAAAGAUGAUCACGUUUAUGUUCUUCGUUUUUUGUUGUGUGGGUCUGUAAGGUUGAAUGUUGUACUGAUAUAUAAUGAUGGGAUGGUUCCCAUAAAUAGUAAGAAAUUACACAUUGCUCAUUGCUUUUUAAAAAGUAACACAAGUAAAGACAUAAUUGUAACUAAAGUAAUUUAAGUUUGACAUUUCUUGGUGAUUUUGAAAUGGUUAUUACUUUCCUUAAUUACUUUAAAUUUUAAAUAGUUUUAUAAAUAAAUAAUUUUUAUUCAUCAUAUCUUUUUUUGCAUUACUCUAACAUGACCUUAGGUUAGACUACAGUCCCACAUAGACAGAAAUCUAUUUCCAAAUGAAGACUCUAGCUGCUUGGCUGGGUUCAACAAAUUUACCUUAGCAUCACUUGCAUUUUUCAUUACCAGCUUUGUUAUAGUGUGAUGUCUUUGAAUGUGCAUGUCAGUGUCAUGCUAGCAGCAGUUUGUACUUGCAUGUUCUUGUCCUUCCAUGAACUAAAAUGAAAGAAAUGUCCAUAUGGCACUUUUAAUGAUUCUCUCUUCUUCUAAUCUGUCCUUCAAGAAGCUAACCUUUGUAACACAAGUAAGGACACAGUUGUAACUAGAAUGUGAGUACUGAUCUAAGGUGAACACUUGGAAAAAAUGAAAUGCAGUGAUUGAAGAACAGAAUCAUGAUUGAAAUCAGUGAAAAUAUUAACAUUGUUAAAGAUAUAGAUCUUCCCAGGAAUCAGUUUAGGGGAGCUGCAGUGAUCAACUAUUUUCAGGGUGUACGGCAAAGACAAAGCUUUGACUUUGGCUUUCUUCCCAUGGACUUUUAGCAUGCUCUUGAAAACAAUGCUACGCAGAGACACACUUUCCACAAUCCCAAUGCGCACUAAACAGAGAUACAGAACAUCGCAUUACAAAUACACAUUAAUUUUUGAAUAGCAUGUCUUCCAAUAUGUGUAUAUAUUUCAUACCUUUAUUGCAAAGAGCAGUUUUGUUCAGAUUAUUCAUAGAGAGAUGUCUGUAUUCUGAAAAAGAGAAGAUUAUAGACAUAUUAUUGGUAAAAUGCAGAAUCUGAGCUGUGCCAUCAUGUUAAAAUGACACAAAAUGAAGUUCUACUUUGUGAGAGGACAUCUAAACAUAUGCGACAGACCAUUAAUCAUCUUUCUCUGAUCCUGUCUUGAUUCAUUGAUUAAUGUAAGCCUCCCAGCGCAGCACGACCACAGGGUGGUGUUGUAAUAGAGGUGACCACAGCAUCCAAAUCCUGUCUUGACAGAGUAAAGCACCUCUUUGUCGUCACCUGAGCAGCAAAUCUCCU
Oreochromis aureus is the source of this 2435-nucleotide long non-coding RNA. Lineage: Eukaryota; Metazoa; Chordata; Actinopteri; Cichliformes; Cichlidae. The record is from Ensembl.